AGAAUCAACGCUGGCGGCGUGCCUAAUACAUGCAAGUCGAACGCGAAAGUCCCGCAAGGGGCAAGUAGAGUGGCAAACGGGUGAGUAACGCGUGGGCGACCUACCUUCGAGUGGGGGAUAACCUUCCGAAAGGAGGGCUAAUACCGCAUGACAUCCUGUGUUUAGAUACACGGAAAUCAAAGCUGGGGAUCGCAAGACCUGGCGCUUGGAGAGGGGCCUGCGUCCGAUUAGCUAGUUGGUGGGUAAUGGCCCACCAAGGCUUCGAUCGGUA
Molecule: ribosomal RNA, 271 nt
Filed under: uncultured bacterium
Lineage: Bacteria
Description: partial small subunit ribosomal RNA
Rfam family: Bacterial small subunit ribosomal RNA
Source: RNAcentral